Molecule: ribosomal RNA, 2337 nt
Filed under: Triticum aestivum (bread wheat)
Lineage: Eukaryota; Viridiplantae; Streptophyta; Magnoliopsida; Poales; Poaceae
Description: partial small subunit ribosomal RNA
Source: RNAcentral
AUGGUCACCGGAAAUUGCACCGCUAAAGCAACUGAUGACUUCUCUAAGCACAUAGAUGGGCAGUUGCUGCGAGUGAACGCUCUGCUGGUGGCGAGCACCAUCAUGAUAGGAGUUAUGGUCGGGAUGGGUGCCUAUGGUCAGCGCUACCGCCACCAUCCAUUGACCAGCUUCCUCUUCCUUGGUGCCAACAUUUUGUUCCUGCCCCUCCUCUCCUAUGUUGUCUCUACCAUCGGUAAUGAAGACCCUGUCGCUCUUUAUUCAUCUGAUCUACACAUCAUAACAGGGUGGUGUGACCCACAGGACCACAUCAUCUCUGUCUUGAUGUGGGCUAGUCUUGUUCUGAUUGCUGCCGUCAACACCACUGCCGUAGUUGCUGGUGAUGAUGACAAGAAAGGCCGAAACAUUGGCCCUCCUGCCACAGUACUGCUUAUUCAAGCAAUAUGGACUUCCUACCUUACCAUUGACUUCCUGGGAAAGGGUUAUUAUACAAUGCAAAAAUGGUCCUUAAAAGUGGUGGCGCCUGAAGACGUAUUGAUCCUUCUUUCACCGUUUGCUCUUAUUGUUGCCAAACUACUUAUCAAAUAUUAUGCUUGGUACAGUGCAAGAGGGUCAUUAGCGUUUGGGCGCAAUUCUCACCUCAUUGUUGGAUACAUGGAGCAGCUAAAAGAUGAAAGCCCACAUGCUGAGCUGGCCCUUCCUCCACUCAUAGUUACAGGAGAGGACACAACACUGGUACAGAAGGAGCCUCAUGGUUAUAGUCUCAAAUGGUUAUUCAACCAAGCUGACAGGACAAGGAUAGACAACAACGGCUUAGUGACCAUUGACAAAGUUUGGCGGUUGGAGGAUGACAUACUUCUGAGGUCUUCAAUGAAGCAGUUGAAAUAUUUAUGUUUCUCAUUUGCGUUGUUCAAGCUCCUAAGAUGUCGAUUCGCAAGCCAUACAAUUGCUGAGACUAGUAUCAUCAAGGCCCAUAACUUAUUGCCACGCGUGUUGCUCCAAGAUGGUGAUGAUGAAAGAGCAAUUGAGGUGAUCGCAGAUGAGCUUUGUUUCCUUCAUGAUUAUUAUUAUUCAUCUCUCCCAACCUCAUACUCAAGGAGUUGGCUGCCCAUUUUAAGCAUAUCUAUUUCACUCCUAAGCAUGGGUUGGAGCUUAUUCUAUAUAUUGGAGAUAACUUUUGCGAAUGUGGGCUAUACUUCAUGGGGAUCAUGGACAUGGAAUGACCACCGACAGAUUCACUGUCAAAUGUAUUGUGAUUCUGGGAUCUGGUUAAAAUAUGGAAGUACUUACUUCGAUGAUGCACCGGUGUUUUUACUUGCGGCACUAGUUGUGCUUGCUGAGGUGCGGGACAUUGCUUCUUACAUCUGCUCUAACUGGACUAAAGUAGUCAUGAUCUGCCACUAUGUUAGGCAUGCUUCUUCUUGGCAACAAUCACCUUGGAAGAAGAAGUUACUUGGUCGUCUGUUGCGCUGCAAAUGUAGGCUGCUAAAGCAUUGGGAGGACAAAAUGAAUCAGUGCUCAGUAUUUGCGCUCCACCCAAGCUCAACUCCAGUGGCUCUUCUCCGGCGCUUAAUCCCUCUUCUUUACAGGAAGAAGGUACCAAGAGCGGUGAAGACCGCUAUCCUCAAGCCAUUGAGAAGCCCCAGUUAUCGCCCAAGCAAUGGCGUGGCAUCCCUGUGCACAAGACUACAUCUACAGGCCGGCAACAACCCCCUCUCGGCAUCCAGUGACGUGAAAGGUGUAGCCUCUACCAUGCUCGUGGUCCACAUUGCCACGAGCAUCUUGGAAGAGAGAUCGGAGUCACACCAGCCCGAGUCUGCUCAUGAGACGGUUGCCACACACUUGUCACACUACUGUGCCUACUUGGUGGCCUACGCCCCCGAGCUACUCCCCGACGACAACCAGUGGUGCAAGAGCUUGUACAGGGCCAUCCAGAAGGAAGCCAAACAUGCAAUCGUGGUUGCUUGCCGCGUCGGGGUGGCGUUGAAUCCUGAAGGGCUGUCACAGGCGCUGAGCGCAGGGUCUGAGGCGCAACACGACCUGCUCAAGAAUGGUGUAGAGCUCGGGAGGAAGCUGCUCAAGAAUGGCGCCGAGCUCGGGAAGAAGCUGGUGGAACUGGCAGAGGGUGAAGGAGAAGAGGUGGCCUGGGAGGUCCUCGCCAACUUCUGGUCCGAGAUGAUUCUUUAUGCCGCUCCGUCAGACAACGUCGAUGCUCACGCAGAGGCCAUUGCGCGGGGCGGCGAAUUGAUAACGCUCAUUUGGGCAUUGCUCACCCACCUUGGGGUCGUCAGCCGGCCAGAGGCCGCUCCUGCCAUGCCUAACGCUCCUAGUGAUGUUUAA